UCGCCAGGACUCCGAGCGCAGUAGUAAAACCCUCGCUUUGGACUGUACUGGCGCGGCCCUGCCGUAAAACCCCCAACUUCUGAAAAUUUGACCUCGGAUCAGGUAGGAAUACCCGCUGAACUUAAGCAUAUCAAUAAGCGGAGGAA
This 146-nucleotide ribosomal RNA is filed under the name Cytospora mali. Its description in RNAcentral is "partial 28S ribosomal RNA". The stretch from base 89 to 146 matches the Rfam family "Eukaryotic large subunit ribosomal RNA", at positions 1 to 58 of the family's 3401-position model. The record is from RNAcentral. Lineage: Eukaryota; Fungi; Ascomycota; Sordariomycetes; Diaporthales; Cytosporaceae.